ACUUUUUUAAUUUACUUAUUUGGUUUGAAAUGUCUUUGGUUUCCUUCAGUUUAUAUGCUUCAAAUUUAUCAAUUUUAAUUAUAAAAUUACUUAAUUAAAUUUACUAAUUAAAUUAGAACUAAAUUAGAAGCACCAAAAAUUUGCCAGUAAGGUGUGCAGCCCAAACAACAAUAUUAUAAAGUGGAUGUAGCAAAGAAAGGAAGCAGAGCUGUUGCUAGAAUUUAUUCAGGGUAUUUACAAUUAAUCUAAUCGCUCCUAACUUCACUGCUCUAGCAGGUCAGGAGGUAGGGUGUUUAUGGCAUAUGGUAAUGUGAAUCUCUUCAUGUUCACAGAGACCUGGCCUGCAGACCUUAACCCCUCAGCUGGACGUAGCCCAGUGCCUUGGUGUCUCUGUGCCCUGCAAAUCCAGUGCCCACACCUCCCUGCUGGAACGCUUCGAUUCCCAGUUUGGAAGAAUGGCCUUGUGUUUAAGUUACAGGAUUGCAAUGCUCCCAGGCUAAAAAAGUGAAAAACUGUUUUCUUUCAACAAAUAUGGUUUAAUCUGUUCUUCAGUAAAUCUGUUAUUUUCAGCUUUCCCCCUGCAGAUUAGGUGCUGUCAGGCUAAGUUGGUUGGAUACCAGGUGGUAGGAGGGAAAACCUAAUUAUUUAAAAAAAAAACCCCAAAUCCUGCUUCGUAGACAGAGCUCAUCUCUUGUAAGUAGGUCAGAGUUAUUACAGAAAACAGCAGUAGUCAUACUAACAAUGGGCUCUGGUUUGUUUAAUAGGUCCUGUUAACAUUUAAAACUUUCUUCCCCUUUUAAAAUUUCCAUUCUGAAGUCAGAUGAUUCAUGACAGUAUGUUUUUCCUUUUGUGCUUAACCCCUUGACUCAGCAUCUCGGCGGCAGCACCGGGAAGCCGUGGUUGUGACUCCUGAUCCUCAGGUCUCUGAUGGAAGCACCCGAGAAUGGGUCCCGGGGAUUAAGGAGGAAGCAGAGGGUUUUGGUGAAGCAGACUCUGUUCUACGGAGGUGGGAAGGGAGAUCAGAGGAGCAGAGAGUGCUUGGUAUGGAUGACGUUCAGACCCAAGAGCAGCAGAGGCCAUGGAAGGUCAUGGAAGUGGACCCACAAGGCUCAGCAGCGUGGUGGGGCAAUGAACGUGACUCUACUUGGUUGUCUCAGCAAGUGGUGUGACACCAUUUCUUCUGAUAGCAUGACAGCUGAGAUUUUCUGAGGCACCUGAGGCAGGCAGCACCCGGAGAGCAAGAUUUUCUCAAUGAAGUGUGUUUUUUGCUCUGAUUUUCCUCUGCUGCUAUUACAGGCCAUGGACUUCAUGAACUGCAGCCCCUCCUCCAUCCUGUCUUUUAUGUGCAGCUCAGUUUUGGAGUUCGGAAGGCUUUUUGUGUGUUGAUUUUGUGCCCAUAUUGGAUACAUUUUAAAAAUACUUCUAAAUAUCUCUGCUUCUCGUAGAUAACUUUUGAUGGGGACAUUUGGAAAUAAAUGUGAACAAAUGCUGAACA
This 1495-nucleotide long non-coding RNA is filed under the name Calidris pugnax (ruff). RNAcentral describes it as "lncRNA (ENSCPUG00000001038.1)". The record is from RNAcentral. Lineage: Eukaryota; Metazoa; Chordata; Aves; Charadriiformes; Scolopacidae.